UGGGGAAUAUUGCACAAUGGGCGCAAGCCUGAUGCAGCCAUGCCGCGUGUGUGAAGAAGGCCUUCGGGUUGUAAAGCACUUUCAGCGAGGAGGAAGGUGGUGGACUUAAUACGUUCAUCAAUUGACGUUACUCGCAGAAGAAGCACCGGCUAACUCCGUGCCAGCAGCCGCGGUAAUACGGAGGGUGCAAGCGUUAAUCGGAAUUACUGGGCGUAAAGCGCACGCAGGCGGUUUGUUAAGUCAGAUGUGAAAUCCCCGGGCUCAACCUGGGAACUGCAUUUGAAACUGGCAAGCUAGAGUCUCGUAGAGGGGGGUAGAAUUCCAGGUGUAGCGGUGAAAUGCGUAGAGAUCUGGAGGAAUACCGGUGGCGAAGGCGGCCCCCCUGGACGAAGACUGACGCUCAGGUGCGAAAAGCGUGGGGAGCAAAACAGGAUUAGAUACCCUGGUAGUCCACGCUGUAAAACGAUGUCGAUUUGGAGGUUGUGCCCUUGAGGCGUGGCUUCCGGAGCUAACGCGUUAAAUCGACCGCCUGGGGAGUACGGCCG
This 545-nucleotide ribosomal RNA is filed under the name uncultured bacterium. RNAcentral's name for it is "partial 16S ribosomal RNA". It matches the Rfam family "Bacterial small subunit ribosomal RNA", at positions 355 to 888 of the family's 1533-position model. The record is from RNAcentral.